Molecule: unclassified non-coding RNA, 353 nt
Organism: Ursus americanus (American black bear)
Lineage: Eukaryota; Metazoa; Chordata; Mammalia; Carnivora; Ursidae
Gene: 7SK
Rfam family: 7SK RNA
About the family: 7SK was discovered as an abundant small nuclear RNA in the mid-70s but a possible function has only recently been suggested. Two independent studies have found that 7SK RNA binds the CDK9/cyclin T complex (known as elongation factor P-TEFb).
Source: Ensembl
GAAUGUGGGGGCGAUCUGGCUGCGACAUCUGUCACCCCAUUGAUCGCCAGUGUUGAUUCGGCUGAUCUGGCUGGCUAGGUGGGUGUCCCCUUCCUCCCUCACCGCUCCAUGUGCGUCCCUCCCAAAGCUGCCGGCUUGGUUGAAGAGGACGACCUUCCCCAUAGAGGAGGACCGUUCUUUGGUCAAGGGUAUACGAGCAGCUGCGCUCCCCUGCUAGAACCUCCAAACAAGCCCUCAAGGUCCAUAAACAUUUCAAUUGUUUCACUAUAUGAAAUAAAUACUGUAUAUUGUUGUAGUUUAAAAAUUUUGCUAAAUAAGAAAGACAGUAAUCACAUGUAGUGAUGCCUUAAUUU